CCUACGGGAGGCAGCAGUGGGGAAUAUUGGACAAUGGGCGAAAGCCUGAUCCAGCAAUGCCGCGUGAGUGAUGAAGGCCUUCGGGUCGUAAAGCUCUUUUACCAGGGAUGAUAAUGACAGUACCUGGAGAAUAAGCUCCGGCUAACUCCGUGCCAGCAGCCGCGGUAAUACGGAGGGAGCUAGCGUUGUUCGGAAUUACUGGGCGUAAAGAGUACGUAGGCGGUUAUUCAAGUCAGAGGUGAAAGCCCGGGGCUCAACCCCGGAACUGCCUUUGAAACUAGACUAACUAGAGUCUUGGAGAGGUUAGUGGAAUUCCGAGUGUAGAGGUGAAAUUCGUAGAUAUUCAGAAGAACACCAGUGGCGAAGGCGACUAACUGGACAAGUACUGACGCUGAGGUACGAAAGCGUGGGGAGCAAACAGGAUUAGAUACCCUGGUAGUCCACGCCGUAAACGAUGAUAACUAGUUGUUCGGUCACUUGGUGACUGAGUGACGCAGCUAACGCAUUAAGUUAUCGCCUGGGGAGGUACGUCGCGAGAUAAAUAAAUAGAGUAGAGNGUGNGAGUUGCGAGAGACACGAGGAGAG
This 585-nucleotide ribosomal RNA is filed under the name uncultured bacterium. RNAcentral describes it as "bacterial SSU rRNA". The stretch from base 1 to 518 matches the Rfam family "Bacterial small subunit ribosomal RNA", at positions 338 to 873 of the family's 1533-position model. The record is from RNAcentral.